CGAACUAUAUGAAAUAGACCAUUUAUACCCUUUGUUACAUUUUGGGAUCAAAAAUGCCCCUGCUGUUAUCCUAAGAGACCACAAAUACCCUCAAGAGUUAACACCCCAAAAUUUUGUUGACGUGGCAAGCCACGUGGGAUUAAUCCUUCCACCUAAGCGUUGCCAACUAGGAUUCACUACAAAAGAACUAGACCUUUAGCAGCAACAACAGUCG
This 214-nucleotide long non-coding RNA is filed under the name Solanum tuberosum (potato). RNAcentral's name for it is "long non-coding RNA (STUB_LNC009665)". Lineage: Eukaryota; Viridiplantae; Streptophyta; Magnoliopsida; Solanales; Solanaceae. The record is from RNAcentral.